UUACCUGCAAGUCGAACGGUAACAGGUCUUCGGAUGCUGACGAGUGGCGAACGGGUGAGUAAUACAUCGGAACGUGCCCGAUCGUGGGGGAUAACGGAGCGAAAGCUUUGCUAAUACCGCAUACGAUCUACGGAUGAAAGCAGGGGACCGCAAGGCCUUGCGCGGACGGAGCGGCCGAUGGCAGAUUAGGUAGUUGGUGGGAUAAAAGCUUACCAAGCCGACGAUCUGUAGCUGGUCUGAGAGGACGACCAGCCACACUGGGACUGAGACACGGCCCAGACUCCUACGGGAGGCAGCAGUGGGGAAUCUUGGACAAUGGGCGCAAGCCUGAUCCAGCCAUGCCGCGUGCAGGAUGAAGGCCUUCGGGUUGUAAACUGCUUUUGUACGGAACGAAAAGACUCUGGUUAAUACCUGGGGUCCAUGACGGUACCGUAAGAAUAAGCACCGGCUAACUACGUGCCAGCAGCCGCGGUAAUACGUAGGGUGCAAGCGUUAAUCGGAAUUACUGGGCGUAAAGCGUGCGCAGGCGGUUAUGUAAGACAGAUGUGAAAUCCCCGGGCUCAACCUGGGAACUGCAUUUGUGACUGCAUAGCUAGAGUACGGCAGAGGGGGAUGGAAUUCCGCGUGUAGCAGUGAAAUGCGUAGAUAUGCGGAGGAACACCGAUGGCGAAGGCAAUCCCCUGGGCCUGUACUGACGCUCA
RNAcentral lists this ribosomal RNA (701 nucleotides) under uncultured soil bacterium. RNAcentral describes it as "bacterial SSU rRNA". It matches the Rfam family "Bacterial small subunit ribosomal RNA", at positions 51 to 749 of the family's 1533-position model. The record is from RNAcentral.